RNAcentral lists this ribosomal RNA (317 nucleotides) under uncultured eukaryote. RNAcentral's name for it is "partial 18S ribosomal RNA". It matches the Rfam family "Eukaryotic small subunit ribosomal RNA", at positions 1470 to 1796 of the family's 1831-position model. The record is from RNAcentral.
CCCUUAGAUGUCCUGGGCCGCACGCGUGCUACACUGACGCUUGCAACGAGUAAUCCCCGGGUCCGAGAGGCUCCCGGUAAUCAGCAAUAGGCGUCGUGAUGGGGAUAGACCCUUGGAAUUAUGGAUCUUGAACGAGGAAUGCCUAGUAAGCGCAGGUCAUUAGCCUGCGUUGAUUAAGUCCCUGCCCUUUGUACACACCGCCCGUCGCUCCUACCGAUUUCGAGUGGUCCGGUGAGCCUUUCGGACUGCGCUCGCCCUCGAGGCGUCGCGGAAAGUCAGGCAAAUCUUACUACUUAGAGGAAGGAGAAGUCGUAACA